This 2008-nucleotide unclassified non-coding RNA is filed under the name Dimorphilus gyrociliatus. RNAcentral describes it as "dgyrCDS2015". The record is from RNAcentral. Lineage: Eukaryota; Metazoa; Annelida; Polychaeta; Dinophilidae.
CUCGCUCUCUUUUUAAGUAGAACAGUGUUUAGGUUUAGUUUAUCUUCUUUAUACUUAGCAUACUAUGUUCUCUAUUGAUUUUUAAAAUAUAGAUAUUAUUAAUUCUUAGAGUAUAGUUGAUAGUUUUACAAUAUCGGCCUAUUUCCACGAUAGUAAUAGGAUUAUCAUCGACGUCAUGUAAGCCGGACUAUGAUGAAAAUUAAUGAUUUAGUUUAAAAUUCUCGUGCUGUAGGAAAGUCAAAAAAUAGAGAUAUAGAUAAGGAGAUAGAUUGAAAGAGAAAGAGAGAGAGAGAUAGGGAAGGAGGCGGAGGAGGGAUAAAAGAAGAGAGACAGAGAAAGUUAGAUCUGCAGAAAAAGAUCAUAGAAUUAAAUAUGUUUUCGUUUCUCGAUUCCCAAACAGAGGAGAACAUCAGUAGAAAUCACCGAGCAGUUGAAAGGAGAAGGAGGAAUAAGAUGAACUCGUAUCUCAAAGAAUUGUCCUCUAUUGUACCUAUGUGUACAGUCCUUAGCAGUCAAAAUAAGAAAUUAGACAAAUUGACCAUACUGAAACUCACAGCCCAACAUCUAAAGUCAAUUAAAGGUUUAUUAAUAAUAAUUACAAUAGUAAUGGUAUUUAUAGCUGAAUUACAAAUAUAAUAGAUAGGAUUAACGCAUUAAAAAUGACUCUUCUAAUCUUAAACAUAAACUCUAUUUAGGUUGCGAGACUUCUAAAAGAGAAGAAGUUCAAACAUUUUUCUCUUCAAACGAUUUAAGACAUUUCUCCUAUAACAUGAUUGAUGGAUUUUCAAUGGUGAUUGGAUGUAAGAGAGGAGAAAUUUUCUUUGUAUCGAAAUCAGUUGAAACUAUCUUGAAUUAUUCUAAUACAGAACUUGAAGGUCAAAAUUUAUUUGAAUUUCUACAUCCGAAUGAUUUAAAUUUAGUUAAGGAACAAGUCCUACAUCGUGGAAAUUUUCCAAAACCAUUUAAUCCUGAGGAAUCUGUGAAUAAUUUAUCCUGUGAAAAUUGGAACUUAUGGCCAGGCGAUAGGAGAAGCUUCUUUUGCAGAUUCAAAAUAAAUCGAGAGAUUGCCUGCUUAUCUAAUGAGGGCACUUACCAAAUUGUUCAUUGUACAGGUUAUCUCAGAAUAUUUGGUAUAAGCAAUUCUAAUAAUGAAGACGAUGAAAGCUCUAAUAAAAGUUGUCUGCUGAUGGUAGUUAGAAAAAAGGAGUCUGAAGAGACUAAAAACUCAUUAGGCUUCCUUUACCAGUCGCCGCAAUUCUACGUUAAACAGUCUACAAAUGGGAAGUUCACUUUCGCAGAUCUAAGUGUAUUUGAAGUACUCGGCUACCUUCCACAAGAGUUAAUAGGUUCCUCUUACUACGAACUUUGCCACCAAGAUGAUGUACCGAAUCUAACAGAAAUAUACGAACAAGCAUCUUCUAAACCCAAUUCACCUAUAGUUAAGGUACUUAGAAUACGUAAGAGAAGCGGAGAAUAUGUUCACUUGAAGACUAAAACGAUUCGCGUUGAGAAUUCCUAUUCAAAAAUUGUUGAAUUUCUUAUUACAACAAACAGUUUAGCAUCAAUCGAUAACUUUGAAAGUGAUACUUCAACAAUUAACGAGGGUUGCGCAAUAAAUGACAAAAGACACGAAUCAACAAUAGUUGGUUUAGGAUUAGGAUGCGAAAUUGUCGAAAAUAUUACUGGUACAAAGUCCAAUUCUGAAAAUAAAGAUGAAAUCAAUUCUACUUUGGAAAAAGUAAUGGAUUUAGAAGAAAAUGAUACUUACUUUGAUGGAAUCCAAAAUCUAAUGGAUGCCUCCUGGUAAUCCUCUCUUUCGAUACUUUUGAACAUUAAAUAUCCCUUAUAAUACGAGAGUUUUUAAUCUAUUCAACUCAUUUACAAGUAGGCUUUAAUCACAUAUUAAUUGAAUAAUAUAGAAUAAAACUCUAUAUAUAUUGUAUAUAUAUAGUAUAUUAUUAAUGAAGAUAAAAACUUUAUAAAUUCUAUACGAUUAAGUAGAUUAUGA